Molecule: transfer RNA, 67 nt
Filed under: Coleoptera sp. 4 AH-2016
Lineage: Eukaryota; Metazoa; Arthropoda; Insecta; Coleoptera
Description: tRNA-Asp
Source: RNAcentral
AAAAAUUUAGUUAAUACAAUAUAACAUUAGUUUGUCAAACUAAAAUAAUUCUCAAUAAUAAUUUUUA